RNAcentral lists this ribosomal RNA (450 nucleotides) under uncultured bacterium. RNAcentral's name for it is "partial 16S ribosomal RNA". It matches the Rfam family "Bacterial small subunit ribosomal RNA", at positions 354 to 796 of the family's 1533-position model. The record is from RNAcentral.
GUGGGGAAUCUUCCACAAUGGACGAAAGUCUGAUGGAGCAACGCCGCGUGAGUGAAGAAGGGUUUCGGCUCGUAAAGCUCUGUUGUCGGGGACGAAUGUGCAGUAUUUGAAUAAAUUACUGUAAUGACGGUACCUGACGAGGAAGCCACGGCUAACUACGUGCCAGCAGCCGCGGUAAUACGUAGGUGGCAAGCGUUGUCCGGAAUUAUUGGGCGUAAAGGGAGCGCAGGCGGGAAGGUAAGUCGGUCUUAAAAGUGGGGGGCUCAACCCCGUGAUGGGAUCGAAACUAUCUUUCUUGAGUGCAGGAGAGGAAAGUGGAAUUCCUAGUGUAGCGGUGAAAUGCGUAGAUAUUAGGAGGAACACCAGUGGCGAAGGCGACUUUCUGGACUGUAACUGACGCUGAGGCUCGAAAGCCAGGGGAGCGAACGGGAUUAGAUACCCGUGUAGUCC